UACAGAGGGGGCAAGCGUUGUUCGGAAUUACUGGGCGUAAAGGGCGCGUAGGCGGCCGUCUAAGUCGAACGUGAAAUCCCCGGGCUCAACCUGGGAACUGCAUUUGUGACUGCAUGGCUAGAGUACGGUAGAGGGGGAUGGAAUUCCGCGUGUAGCAGUGAAAUGCGUAGAUAUCUGGAGGAACACCGGUGGCGAAGGCGGCAUUCUGGACCGAAACUGACGCUGAGGCGCGAAAGCUAGGGGAGCAAACGGG
RNAcentral lists this ribosomal RNA (253 nucleotides) under uncultured bacterium. Its description in RNAcentral is "partial 16S ribosomal RNA". It matches the Rfam family "Bacterial small subunit ribosomal RNA", at positions 524 to 776 of the family's 1533-position model. The record is from RNAcentral.